Molecule: small nucleolar RNA, 310 nt
Organism: Bufo bufo (common toad)
Lineage: Eukaryota; Metazoa; Chordata; Amphibia; Anura; Bufonidae
Source: RefSeq, a predicted model, not a curated record
GCCAUAUGAUGAGCUCAAGGCAAAUGUGAGUCCUCGAUCCCCUGGGUACGUUCUCUGCUCAUGACCCCCGGUCUGUAAUCUUGGUGGUUGUGGAGGAGCGUUUCCCUGCCGCUGUAAGGCCAGACCCACAGUAUCUUCUAAUGGUGGUCUACCUCAACUUAUAAUCUAAACUGCCCAUCCAAGUAUGAUGGUGCAGAUAAUGAGGAGACCUACAAGACGGGCUCUGACCAAAAGGGGGCUGGGCAGGGGUCAUCACUCACAAAAAGGGGCUAGGGCAAAAUGAUCGUGACUCUUUGGUAAUCUGAUGGCA